GCCGCUUUAGCUCAGUUGGUAGAGCACAUCAUUCGUAAUGAUGGGGUCACAGGUUCGAGUCCUGUAAGCGGCACCA
This 76-nucleotide transfer RNA is filed under the name Agrobacterium sp. Its description in RNAcentral is "tRNA-Thr". It matches the Rfam family "tRNA". From Rfam's summary of the family: Transfer RNA (tRNA) molecules are approximately 80 nucleotides in length. Their secondary structure includes four short double-helical elements and three loops (D, anti-codon, and T loops). The record is from RNAcentral. Lineage: Bacteria; Pseudomonadati; Pseudomonadota; Alphaproteobacteria; Hyphomicrobiales; Rhizobiaceae. RNAcentral also lists the same sequence under 140 other names.